Molecule: long non-coding RNA, 285 nt
Filed under: Nicotiana benthamiana
Lineage: Eukaryota; Viridiplantae; Streptophyta; Magnoliopsida; Solanales; Solanaceae
Description: long non-coding RNA (NBEN_LNC034336)
Source: RNAcentral
CCCUGAGUAUUUAUACUUACAACCGUGGGUCAGGUCCGUGGAUCGAGUCACUGACCCAAUAGAAUAAAGAAUGGACGGGUCAUAUCUGGGCUCAGAUAUGACUCUCAGUAUUGGGCUCGGGAAAGGCCCAAUUUUAGGUGGUAUCAUCAUUGCCCAAUUGUUCUACCAAUUAUACACAAUAAAUACAUUGUGUAUACAUUAUUACAACAUAUACAACACCACGUAUCUCAACACCCCCCCUCAAGUUGGAAGGGGGGAACCACUUGCAACUUGGAAAGCAGCGGA